UAUAGUCGGGUAUGAGCAGGACAGGAGAGGGCUCCCCCACUACACGCACACUAGGUGUGUGGGGCAACUACCCGGUGAUGGUCAGGCAGUUGUUAACUGUUUCGCUACAGUAAUAAUUGGUCACAGCUGGCACCAGGGAAAGACAGUCACUUAACAGAUAGAAAACACCUGAAACUGGUGAGCAGCCGCUUCUGGAUCAGAUCUCAGCGUUGGAUGAGCAGGAGAACCAACGCAAGACCUCGGAAGUGUGCCAAGGAAAAGAGGAAGACAGUAACUUGACAGUGGAGAAACCUGGAAGCCAUUGCCUUAAUCAUGAAGAUUUGCAGACCUCCUAAAAGCUCAUGCAUGAACUCCAGGUCAGGACCCCUUGACCAGAAUGGAUAAAAGCACUUGCCGAAGUGCCUUUCCCAAGCUUUCUUAAACUCUGCCAAUAACCAGAAUUUCAGCUGAGGCUGGCACAUAUCACGUGAACUAAACGACGUGACCAUACAAAUGAAUGGAAUGGAAACUAACCCUGUAAAUUCAGAAUAAAACCACAUCCUGGAGGCAGAAAAACCAUCUUGUGCCCAUGAGGGAGAACACCAAACAAAUUUGUAUGACUUCCUUGAGUAGCUGCAUUUAUAUUGGACUGUCUACCUCCUGACUUCUUGUCCUGUAAGAAAAAUCAAUCUCAAUUUGAUUAAGCUACUGAGUUGGAUUUCUGUUCAUGCAACUGAAUGUCAUAUCUAAUAUAAUAUUGGAUCCACUUCUUAGAGAUUGACAAUGAACAUUGCAUAUUAAAGAUUUUAAGAAGCCCUAUUUAUAUCUGUUUAACCUAAUAUUAAAAUUAUUUGACUACCUAAUUCUUUUCCCUCAGAACACUUAGUAUAUUUCACUGAACACGAGUGUUUGGCAGAUGUUUGGAAAAUGAUAUUCUCUUUGUGUUGAUCCAGCAGGAAACAGUUGUGACAUUCUACCAAGAUAUAGAAUACAGGAGGAGUAACAUGUUAAGGGAGAAAGAAAAUGAGUUUAGUUUUGGAUGUGUUCAGAAUCCUUCCUCUUAACUGCUUUGCUAUAUAUACCACCUCUCUCAAAAAAGGAAAUGGAAAGUU
This is a long non-coding RNA of Cercocebus atys (sooty mangabey), 1091 nucleotides long. RefSeq lists it as uncharacterized. The record is from RefSeq and is a predicted model, not a curated record. The transcript has 4 exons. NCBI's taxonomy places the organism in Eukaryota, Metazoa, Chordata, Mammalia, Primates, Cercopithecidae.